UGUAAAUUCACAACGAUAUCCGUGAUGGUU
Molecule: non-coding RNA, 30 nt
Filed under: Mus musculus (house mouse)
Lineage: Eukaryota; Metazoa; Chordata; Mammalia; Rodentia; Muridae
Source: RNAcentral